AGAGUUUGAUCCUGGCUCAGAUUGAACGCUGGCGGCACGCUUAACACAUGCAAGUCGAACGGCAGCACGAUGUUAGGAAACUGACAUGGGUGGCGAGUGGCGGACGGGUGAGUAAAGCGUAGGGAUUUACCCUGAAGAGGAGGAUAACCCGGGGAAACUCGGGCUAAUACUGCAUACUACUCUGAGGAGGAAAGGAUGGG
RNAcentral lists this ribosomal RNA (200 nucleotides) under uncultured bacterium. RNAcentral's name for it is "partial 16S ribosomal RNA". It matches the Rfam family "Bacterial small subunit ribosomal RNA", at positions 8 to 212 of the family's 1533-position model. The record is from RNAcentral.